This 303-nucleotide ribosomal RNA is filed under the name uncultured bacterium. Its description in RNAcentral is "bacterial SSU rRNA". It matches the Rfam family "Bacterial small subunit ribosomal RNA", at positions 355 to 675 of the family's 1533-position model. The record is from RNAcentral.
UGGGGGAUAUUGCACAAUGGGGGAAACCCUGAUGCAGCGACGCCGCGUGAGGGAAGACGGUUUUCGGAUUGUAAACCUCUGUCUUUGGGGACGAAUUGAGACGGUACCCAAGGAGGAAGCUCCGGCUAACUACGUGCCAGCAGCCGCGGUAAUACGUAGGGAGCAAGCGUUGUCCGGAAUUACUGGGUGUAAAGGGAGCGUAGGCGGGAUAGUAAGUUGAUUGUUAAAACUAUCGGCUCAACUGGUAGAUGCGAUCAAAACUGCAAUUCUUGAGUGAAGUAGAGGCAGGCGGAAUUCCUAGUG